Myotis myotis is the source of this 2774-nucleotide long non-coding RNA. RefSeq lists it as uncharacterized. Lineage: Eukaryota; Metazoa; Chordata; Mammalia; Chiroptera; Vespertilionidae. The transcript is spliced from 3 exons. The record is from RefSeq and is a predicted model, not a curated record.
UGUCAUCAACUGGUGAUGCAAGAUGAGCCCAAUCACUAAACACUAUUUAGCCAACUCCAAAUUCUGCAACCAGACAGUAGAAGGCAUUUCAUACAUUUAAGCAGAGCUGCUGCACAAUGACUGUGUCCUUCUGCUUCUGAGAAUCAAAUAAUCCUUUUGCUAAGGAAGAAAAUCAGCUGGAACGGAUACUGUCAUGUCAUCUUCUUGAAGAAAGCUUUCAAUACAGUGCCUCUUCUCUGACCCAUUGCCCCUCCUUCGGCCAGAUGAGCUGAAGGCAGCCUAGUGCACAGCACCUUUCAGAUUUAAAGAGGCAGGCGCAUGAUCAUGAAGUUAUGUAACCGGGGCUCCCAUCGGUGAGGCUGAAUCCAUGGCAGUUCCCGUCAAGCUCUAACUUUGUCUUCUUUUCAACUCAUGCCUGCCUUGACCUAAAAUUUGCCCACAAUGUGGGUCUUGCUCUUGCCCUGUCCUUGCUCUCUUGGCUUCUGACUCUGGACCCCACCUCUUACUCUGCUCUCCUGGCAUGGAUGUGCAUGGCUGACUAUGCCUUCCUCCAUCUAACUUUAGUGUCACCACCUCCGGUUAGGACACACUGUGGGCUGACCUCUUUAAGUGACUACCAUGGAUGACCCCAGAGGGCUGCCCACACAUGUCCCGAGAUAUGGCCCAUCGGAAGGCAGAUGAGAAGUCCUCUAGUGAGGCAGGAGCUCACUUCAGGAGUUAGUCUUCUUGCCAGUGCCUUCUCUCUGCUCCUCUGAGGCUGGGUGGAUCCGAGAACCUUCGUCUAAUCAAGUUCCAGUUUUACCUCUCCCACUAUAUCUCUGGAUAUCCACAAGGAGCCUCUCUUGUGGGACCAGGAUAACAUGAAGAGAAGAAGAAAGGAGAGAAGAAAUGAUGAGUGAAAGCUUAAGUGAGACAUAGAUCCUCGCACUGCAUGCUCUGGGGUUGGUUGGAACAGAGGAUAAAAAUCAAAGAACUGGAUAAAACAUCUCUUUGAGGACACAGAGGAGUCAGUGAUGACACCCUUAACCUCUACUCCGUCUGGAGAACCCACCACCUUGGUUAUAAAAAUGAAGUUCUACUGAUAAUUAUAAAAAUAAAAUGUUUACAAGUUCAAGGAAUUCCUUGGAAGACUUGUUUAUACUUGCUGCCCCAAUUUCUCUCAUUUCAUUCACUUAAAAAACCCCACACAAUUUGCUAAGAUAUCAUUUACACACCAUGAAAUUAACCCAUUUAAAAUGUGUCAUUCAAUGGAUUUUAAUAUAUGUAUUUACAGAAUUGUGUGACCUGUAAUCUAAUUUUAGAACAUUUUUAUCACCCCGAAAAGAAACCUUGUACCCAUUAUCAGUCAUGCCUCCUUUGCCUCCACUCCCAGCCUUAAGUAAACAUUACUUUUCUUUGUCUCUAUAGAUUUGCCUCUUCUGGACAUUUCAUAUAAAUGGAUUCAUACAAUAUUGUCUUUUAUGUCUGGUCACUCUCACUUAGCAUAAUGUUAUCCAGGUUCAUUCUUGUAGAUGAUAUCAGUAUUUCAUUCCUCUUUAUGCCUGCAUAAUAUUCCAUUGUGUGGAUAUACCACAUUUUGUUUAUUCAUACACUGAUUGAUAAACAUUAAAGUUGUUUUUAUUUUUGGCAGUUAUGAAUAAUAUUGCCACAAAUGUUUGAGUACAAGUAUUUAUAAGGACAUAUGUGUUCAUGUCUCUUGGGUAGAUACCAACGAAUAGAAUUGCUGGGUUAUAAGGUCACUAACUCUAUGUUUAACAUUUUGAGGAAAUGACAAACUGUUUCCCUAAGUGCUGCAUCAUUUUAUAUUCCCAUUAGCGAUGUGUGAGAGCUCUGAUUUCUCCACAUCUUCACCAAAAAUUAUUUUUUAAAGUAUACUUGACACACAAUAUUAUAUUAAUUUCAGGUAUACAACACAGUGAGUUGACAUUUAUAUACCUUGUGAUGUGAUCACCACAAUAAGUCUAAUAGCCAUCUGUACCUUACAAAGUUAUGAUACCAUGGCCUAUUUUCCCUAUGCUAAACACUACAUUCACAUGACUUAUUUAUUUUAUAACUGGAAUUUUGUACCUCUUAUUCCUCUUUACAUUUUUCACCCAUCCCUCCAUGCCCCUCCCCUCACCUAUACUCUUAUUGUCUAUCGUUUCUACUCUAGCCAUCCUAGUGGGUAUGAUGUGGUAUCUCAUUUUGACUUUGAUUUGCAUUUCCCUGAAGACUAAUGAUGUUGAGCAUCUUUUCAUGAACUUAUUGGCCAUUUGUAUGUCUUCUUUGCUGAAUUAUCUACUCAAAUCCUUUGUCUAUUUUUAAAUUGGAUUAUUUGUCUUCUUAUUUUUUGACUUGUAGGGAUUCUUCAUAUAUUCCAGAUAUACAUACAUAUGCUUUGUAAAUAUCAUCUCCCUGCCUGUGGGUUACCACUUCACUUUCUUUAUGGUAUUCUUUGAAGUAGAAAAGUUUUUCAUUUUGACAAAGUCUAACUUGUCAAUCUUCUCUUUUACCACUUGUACUUUUGGUGUCAUAUCUGAGAAACCAUUGUCUAACCCAAGGUCGUAAGGAAUUACACCUGAGUUUUCUUCUAUGAGUUUUAUAGUUUUAGUUCUUACAUUUAGGUGUGUGAUCCACUUUAAGGUAAUUUUUAUGGUGUAUGGUAGGAAUUCAAAUUAUUCUUAUCAUGUGGAUAUCCAGUUGUCCCAAAAGCAUUUGUUGAAAAAACUAUUCUCACAAAAAUUCUGUACAUCUAAAACUAAAAGUUUAUUUAAAAAAAAUACAGGGUGCUCCCA